This 339-nucleotide unclassified non-coding RNA is filed under the name soil metagenome. RNAcentral's name for it is "partial contains 5.8S ribosomal RNA, internal transcribed spacer 2, and large subunit ribosomal RNA". The stretch from base 1 to 120 matches the Rfam family "5.8S ribosomal RNA", at positions 35 to 154 of the family's 154-position model. The record is from RNAcentral.
GAUGAAGAACGUAGCGAAAUGCGAUAAGUAAUGUGAAUUGCAGAAUUCAGUGAAUCAUCGAAUCUUUGAACGCACAUUGCGCCCGCCAGUAUUCUGGCGGGCAUGCCUGUUCGAGCGUCAUUUCAACCAUCAAGCCCCGGGCUUGUGUUGGGGACCUGCGGCUGCCCGCAGGCCCUGAAAAGCAGUGGCGGGCUCGCUGUCACACCGAGCGUAGUAGCAUUAUCUCGCUCAGGGCGUGCUGCGUGUUCUGGCCGUUAAACAACGCCUUUUACACCCAAGGUUGACCUCGGAUCAGGUAGGAAGACCCGCUGAACUUAAGCAUAUCCAAUAAGCGGAGGA